Molecule: microRNA precursor, 76 nt
Filed under: Myotis davidii
Lineage: Eukaryota; Metazoa; Chordata; Mammalia; Chiroptera; Vespertilionidae
Description: mir-9229 microRNA precursor family
Rfam family: mir-9229 microRNA precursor family
Source: Rfam by way of RNAcentral
GAAACAUCCCUAUGAAGCAGGACUUGCUUCAGUGGGGCUUGGGUGCUCAUUGAUUCUGCUUCUUGAGUGUGUUGCU